UGCAAGUCGAGCGGAACGAGUUAUCUGAACCUUCGGGGAACGAUAACGGCGUCGAGCGGCGGACGGGUGAGUAAUGCCUAGGAAAUUGCCCUGAUGUGGGGGAUAACCAUUGGAAACGAUGGCUAAUACCGCAUGAUGCCUACGGGCCAAAGAGGGGGACCUUCGGGCCUCUCGCGUCAGGAUAUGCCUAGGUGGGAUUAGCUAGUUGGUGAGGUAAGGGCUCACCAAGGCGACGAUCCCUAGCUGGUCUGAGAGGAUGAUCAGCCACACUGGAACUGAGACACGGUCCAGACUCCUACGGGAGGCAGCAGUGGGGAAUAUUGCACAAUGGGCGCAAGCCUGAUGCAGCCAUGCCGCGUGUAUGAAGAAGGCCUUCGGGUUGUAAAGUACUUUCAGUCGUGAGGAAGGCGGUGUCGUUAAUAGCGGCAUUGUUUGACGUUAGCGACAGAAGAAGCACCGGCUAACUCCGUGCCAGCAGCCGCGGUAAUACGGAGGGUGC
This 499-nucleotide ribosomal RNA is filed under the name Vibrio sp. RNAcentral's name for it is "bacterial SSU rRNA". It matches the Rfam family "Bacterial small subunit ribosomal RNA", at positions 56 to 535 of the family's 1533-position model. The record is from RNAcentral. Lineage: Bacteria; Pseudomonadati; Pseudomonadota; Gammaproteobacteria; Vibrionales; Vibrionaceae.